UAUUAUUACUUUUACGGGGAUGUUUAACGAAUGUUGACUACGGCACGGUCGACCUAGGAUUACGCCUUUUUGGACAUAUGAUAUAAUUAACAGGUCAACCUAUAUCGACAAACAUCUUUUUUCUUUUACGUUUAUAAAUUUACGAUACACAAGAUAGAAGGUACAAAAAGAGAAGAUGGUUACUGAUAAAAGCGUUUGGACAUAUGUCAUAUAUGUAGUAAUAAUAACAGUCUGUUACUUUGCCCUCAUUGGGUUGAUUAUCGUGUUAAAGGAAUUAUGCGAUUGUAAUGAUACAACCGAAAUAAGAGAUAAUCGCAGGAAUAUAAAGAUGUCACCCAUAAAUAAUAUCGACCAACAGUAACAAAAUUGAAUAAGAAAGACUGACAGAGAAGAAAACUUUUGUUAAUAUAAGCUGAACAGUAUAAAAGGAAAACAAGUUGUUUCAUGUCUUAGUGUUGUGUUGCUUUGUAUGAUAAAUGUGUUUGUUUGUUUGUUUG
This is a long non-coding RNA of Mytilus californianus (California mussel), 497 nucleotides long. RefSeq lists it as uncharacterized. NCBI's taxonomy places the organism in Eukaryota, Metazoa, Mollusca, Bivalvia, Mytilida, Mytilidae. The record is from RefSeq and is a predicted model, not a curated record. The transcript has 4 exons.